This 253-nucleotide ribosomal RNA is filed under the name uncultured bacterium. RNAcentral describes it as "partial 16S ribosomal RNA". It matches the Rfam family "Bacterial small subunit ribosomal RNA", at positions 524 to 776 of the family's 1533-position model. The record is from RNAcentral.
UACAGAGGGUGCGAGCGUUGUUCGGAAUUAUUGGGCGUAAAGCGCUUGUAGGCGGCCUGUUAAGUUCCGUGUGAAAUCCCCUGGCUUAACCAGGGAAGUGCGCGGAAAACUGGCGGGCUUGAGUGCCGGAGAGGGUCGCGGAAUUCCCGGUGUAGAGGUGAAAUUCGUAGAUAUUCGCAAGAACACCAGUGGCGAAGGCGGCUCACUGGCCCGAUACUGACGCUGAGGCACGAAAGCGUGGGGAGCAAACAGG